GUUUAUAUAGUAUAAAAUUAUAUAUAUAUAUAACUUCCAAUUAUAAGAUUUAAAUUUAAAUUUAAUAUAAAUA
RNAcentral lists this transfer RNA (73 nucleotides) under Trichosia lengersdorfi. RNAcentral's name for it is "tRNA-Gly". The record is from RNAcentral. Lineage: Eukaryota; Metazoa; Arthropoda; Insecta; Diptera; Sciaridae.